RNAcentral lists this ribosomal RNA (1510 nucleotides) under metagenome. RNAcentral's name for it is "bacterial LSU rRNA". It matches the Rfam family "Bacterial large subunit ribosomal RNA", at positions 1431 to 2925 of the family's 2925-position model. The record is from RNAcentral.
AAAUAUUCCUGCACCGCUUGUUACUGCGAUGAGGGGACGGAGGAGGCUAGGCUGGCCGGGUGUUGGUUAUCCCGGUUUAAGCGUGUAGGAAGUGUUCUUAGGCAAAUCCGGGAACACAAUUCCGAGACGUGAUGACGAGGGUCCAUUGGACUCGAAGUAGCUGAUGCCACGCUCCCAGGAAAAGCCUCUAAGCUUCAGGUAACAAGGACCGUACUGCAAACCGACACAGGUGGGUGAGGAGAAAAUCCUAAGGCGCUUGAGAGAACUCGGAUGAAGGAACUCUGCAAAAUUGUGCCGUAACUUCGGGAGAAGGCACGCCCUCUAAGGUGAAGGACCUGCGUCUGGAGCCAUUGAGGGUCUCAGUAAAAGGUGGCUGCGACUGUUUACUAAAAACACAGCACUCUGCAAACACGUAAGUGGAAGUAUAGGGUGUGACGCCUGCCCGGUGCCGGAAGGUUAAUUGAUGGGGUUAGCCGCAAGGCGAAGCUCUUGAUCGAAGCCCCGGUAAACGGCGGCCGUAACAAUAACGGUCCUAAGGUAGCGAAAUUCCUUGUCGGGUAAGUUCCGACCUGCACGAAUGGCGUAACGAUGGCCACACUGUCUCCAUCCGAGACUCAGUGAAGUUGAAAUCGCUGUGAAGAUGCAGUGUACCCGCGGCAAGACGGAAAGACCCCGUGAACCUUUACUAUAACUUUGCACUGAAUUUUGAAUUUGUCUGUGUAGGAUAGGUGGGAGGCUUUGAAGCGGUGACGCUAGUCAUCGUGGAGCCACCGUUGAAAUACCACCCUGAUAAAUUCGGAGUUCUACCUUGGCCCGUUAUCCGGGUUGGGGACAGUGCAUGGCGGGUAGUUUGACUGGGGCGGUCUCCUCCUAAAGAGUAACGGAGGAGCACAAAGGUACCCUCAGCGCGGUCGGACAUCGCGCAGUGAGUGCAUAGGCACAAGGGUGCUUGACUGCGAGACAAACAAGUCGAGCAGGGACGAAAGUCGGUCUAAGUGAUCCGGUGGUUCUGUAUGGAAGGGCCAUCGCUCAACGGAUAAAAGGUACUCCGGGGAUAACAGGCUUAUUCCUCCCAAGAGUCCACAUCGACGGAGGAGUUUGGCACCUCGAUGUCGGCUCAUCACAUCCUGGGGCUGUAGCAGGUCCCAAGGGUUCGGCUGUUCGCCGAUUAAAGUGGUACGCGAGCUGGGUUUAGAACGUCGUGAGACAGUUCGGUCCCUAUCUGCCGUGGGCGUUGGAAAUUUGAGGGGAGCUGCUCCUAGUACGAGAGGACCGGAGUGGACGUACCUCUGGUGUUCCGGUUGUCACGCCAGUGGCAUUGCCGGGUAGCUAUGUGCGGAAGGGAUAACCGCUGAAAGCAUCUAAGCGGGAAGCCCACCCCAAGAUUAGAUUUCCCUGAGGACUCGAUCCUCCUAAAGGGCCCUCGUAGACUACGAGGUUGAUAGGCUGGGUGUGGAAGUCGAGUAAUCGAUGAAGCUAACCAGUACUAAUUGCCCGUGAGGCUUGACCG